Molecule: ribosomal RNA, 503 nt
Filed under: uncultured bacterium
Lineage: Bacteria
Description: partial 16S ribosomal RNA
Rfam family: Bacterial small subunit ribosomal RNA
Source: RNAcentral
AUUGAACGCUGGCGGCAGGCUUAACACAUGCAAGUCGAGCGGGGUGAUGGUGCUUGCACUAUCACUUAGCGGCGGACGGGUGAGUAAUGCUUAGGAAUCUGCCUAUUAGUGGGGGACAACAUCUCGAAAGGGAUGCUAAUACCGCAUACGUCCUACGGGAGAAAGCAGGGGAUCACUUGUGACCUUGCGCUAAUAGAUGAGCCUAAGUCGGAUUAGUUAGUUGGUGGGGUAAAGGCCUACCAAGGCGACGAUCUGUAGCGGGUCUGAGAGGAUGAUCCGCCAAGCUGGGACUGAGACACGGCCCAGACUCCUACGGGAGGCAGCAGUGGGGAAUAUUGGACAAUGGGGGGAACCCUGAUCCAGCCAUGCCGCGUGUGUGAAGAAGGCCUUAUGGUUGUAAAGCACUUUAAGCGAGGAGGAGGCUCUUUUGGUUAAUACCCAAGAUGAGUGGACGUUACUCGCAGAAUAAGCACCGGCUAACUCUGUGCCAGCCGCCGCUGUAA